Molecule: ribosomal RNA, 494 nt
Filed under: uncultured bacterium
Lineage: Bacteria
Description: partial 16S ribosomal RNA
Rfam family: Bacterial small subunit ribosomal RNA
Source: RNAcentral
GACGAACGCUGGCGGCGCGCUUAACACAUGCCAGUCGAACGGAAAGGCCUGCUUUCCCUUGUGGAUUGCGGGUACUCGAGUGGCGAACGGGUGAGUAACACGUGAGUGAUCUGCCCCCGACUUGGGUAUAAGCCUGGGAAACUGGGUCUAAUUCCCGAUAGGACUGCAGGGUGGUGCCUGUGGUGGAAAACGAUUUUCUAGUGGUUGGGGAUGAGCUCGCGGCCUAUCAGCUUGUUGGUGGGGUAAUGGCCUACCAAGGCGGCGACGGGUAGCCGGCCUGAGAGGGUGGACGGCCACAUUGGGACUGAGAUACGGCCCAGACUCCUACGGGAGGCAGCAGUGGGGAAUAUUGCACAAUGGGCGGAAGCCUGAUGCAGCGACGCCGCGUGGGGGAUGACGGCCUUCGGGUUGUAAACUCCUUUCGACCGCGAGGAAGCCACCUGGUUGGAAGGGUGGUGACGGUAGUGGUAGAAGAAGCACCGGCUAACUACGUG